CACACAUGAUUUCUUCACAAAGUUAUUUGAACAAGAAAAAUUAGGAUAAUGUAAUCAAUCCCCCCCUUUUUUUUUUCUUUCUUUUAAUUCUAAUGAUUUAUAUCUAUGUACCUAAGAGCAUGUUGAUAAUUUGAUGUGUGUAUGGUUGCUUCUUAAUAAUUGCAGAAUUUGUGUAAUAAUCGGAGAUGGUUUAUUAGCUUCCAGAGGGGGAAUUAAUCUUGCAACAAUCAUUGCAGGAAUUAGCUUAUUUUGCAGGCUGUUACUGCUCAGAGAAGCUUCCAAAUGUAGGAGCUUUUCAUUUUCCAAAAGGUUGAUAAGCCAUAGGAUUUUCUUCUUCACGUGACUGCAGUCUCUGUUCAAACAUGGGGCAGCAUUCUGCAUGUUCUUUUGGCCAUAGAUGAAUGGAAUAGAUGGAAGUCAUGGAACCUUUCAGGCCAAAGAGAGUAAAAAGUGUAAAGAUGGUAGAGCAUGACAGUAAAAGAAGCAGUUCAGAUAAACAUCCCAAACUGGAAUAAUUCGUCGCAAAGCAAAGCAAUGGUUGGUAAUGGCGUAAUGCUCAAACCACAGGACUUUUGGAAUUUUUAUUUUCCCAGUAGUUGAAUCUUGAAUCUUUUGGAUCUUGACACACCUUCUACUGUUGUAGCAUCUGCCUCAUCUCCAUAUAUUUCAAAGAUGCUUCGUAAAACUUCGAUUAGGGUGUAUGAAUAAUAAUCGAGCCUCCAACUAUACUACAAGAACUAGCAUAUAAUGCAGGGUAAAGGCUGUGCAUAAGUUGACAAUUUGUAGUCCCAAGAAAAUUAGCGAUUGCUCCAGUGAGAUGGUUUUUGCCACAACAAAACUUUAAUGAUGGUUCCAUUAAUCAUGCAACCCGUCUCAUAACUCCUUUUCAGUGAGAGGGAUAUCAACCAUUAUAUGGUCACACAAUUCCCACUGAAGCCAACAAAGGGAAAUUAAACCAUGUUUGACUUAGAUUUGCUCAAAUUCGAUAAUGUUGGUCUUAGAUUCGGCAACGUUUGGCCUAGAUUCAGCAAUGUUUGGCUCAGAUCCGCUUAAAUCCAGCUGAAUCUUUAUCUCCCCCACUAAGAUCUGGCGAAGAUCUACCACCCUCCACCCACCACCACUCCUUCAUCAGUUUCAACCAAACUGACCAAUCGUCCACCAGAGCCCGAUCAAUCUAUUAUUUUUCUUUUUGGUGUUCGUUUUUCAAAUUCAAUGAGCUUUUGCCUAAAAUUUGUUCCAUCUAGUGAAGCAUCUUGCCAACGGGUUUUCUUGCUUACGAAUUAAUAUAAUUAAAAUAAGCAAUGUUGUUAAUAUGUAUAAACUGAAUUAGGUACAUUGCAUGUGUUUGUCUUUGGGAGGCAAAUCUGAUACCUUUAGAAUUGUGUGGUGUGUAAAGAAGUUCAAAACUCCAAUUUUCAAUUUGGUUUGAUCAA
Quercus robur (English oak) is the source of this 1433-nucleotide long non-coding RNA. RefSeq lists it as uncharacterized. Lineage: Eukaryota; Viridiplantae; Streptophyta; Magnoliopsida; Fagales; Fagaceae. The record is from RefSeq and is a predicted model, not a curated record. The transcript has 8 exons.